CAGCCGCCGCGGUAAUACGUAGGUGGCAAGCGUUGUCCGGAAUUACUGGGCGUAAAGGGCUCGCAGGCGGUUUCCUAAGUCUGAUGUGAAAGCCCCCGGCUCAGCCGGGGAGGGUCAUUGGAAACUGGGAAACUUGAGUGCAGAAGAGGAGAGUGGAAUUCCACGUGUAGCGGUGAAAUGCGCAGAGAUGUGGAGGAACACCAGUGGCGAAGGCGACUCUCUGGUCUGUAACUGACGCUGAGGAGCGAAAGCGUGGGGAGCGAACAGGAUUAGAUACCCCUGUAGUCCCUGUCUCUUAUAA
RNAcentral lists this ribosomal RNA (301 nucleotides) under uncultured bacterium. RNAcentral describes it as "partial 16S ribosomal RNA". It matches the Rfam family "Bacterial small subunit ribosomal RNA", at positions 509 to 809 of the family's 1533-position model. The record is from RNAcentral.